Molecule: unclassified non-coding RNA, 1977 nt
Filed under: Hevea brasiliensis (rubber tree)
Lineage: Eukaryota; Viridiplantae; Streptophyta; Magnoliopsida; Malpighiales; Euphorbiaceae
Source: RNAcentral
UCUUCUUCUUCUUCUUCUUCUUCGGUGCUGUAAUCAUAGUAAUACUCAUCGUCAUCCUCAUCAUCUUUGUCGCAUAUUAAACCUGUCAACUGUGGCUUCCUUAGUUGCUCCUGAAUUCUAUCUCUAAUGGCUGUUCCCUGACAGCAACCAUAGCCAUCAGCAUAUAGAUAAUGGAAACAAUCUUUUGUGUAUCAGCCUUCAAAACUAAACCAACCGUUUUUGCUGAAGCACAGAGAAGAGAAAGAGAUAUCUAACCAUUUUAUGGCAACCUUCUUCAAACAUCUCAAGAAAUCCAGCAACCAGUCGAUCAGCAUUCUCCACCCAUUCAUUUCGAUGCACACGAGCGGUUUUUGCUACUGUUUGUAUCUUUUCCCCCACUUUCUCUUGCUGCUUUUUCACUCUCUCACCCAACUUUUUAAGUCCCAUGUGCGCUCUGAGCCGCUUUUCCUUCACAUAGCUAACGCCCAAAUCCUUUCUUGUAUACCCACGUGCCAGAUUACGCAUUACAUACUCGUUGUAAUCUUUGACAAUCCUCAUUAUGAUAUCUGAUGUUGAGAUCCCAUCAGUUCGUUUUGUUUCCUUAAAUUUUCCAAUAGACUUCACAAAUUCAUAGACAUCCUUUCCUGCCCCACUUGUAUCAGCAUAACUACAAUUUUAGGCCAAAUAGAAAAAAAAAUUAACAUAUUAAGAAACAUAGGGAACUUAAAUGAAAAUUAGAAAAAAAAAAAAAUCCACAGUAAGAUAAUUCAGGAGUCUUUUCUACAAUUUUGGAGCAACCAGAAAACAAUUACCAAAUUACUUAGCAGAGGAAACUUAAAUGAAGGAAAAGAAUUCCAUAGGAAGAACAAUCAAUAGGCACAAACCACAGGUUGGCAAGAUUUUCUAUUGCCUACUCAUGAAUCCAUAUAUCAUGUUAGAUGCCUCAAGAAAGAAUUGCCCAAAUAACAUGUAAUAAAAAAAUGCAAAUAAGCAUAAACAUGAUAAAAAUAAAUAAACAAAAUAAGAAAGAACAAGCAGAACUUAAAUGAACAUAAAAAUCAAAAGAACAUGGAGAACUUAAAUGAGCAUAAAAAUCUAAGUAAAUUAAUGGAUGUUCAUGCUGACUUUCAACGAAUAUAUAGCAACUUUGAUGUUACUGGAUGCAUUCCCAAAAUAACGACAGAAAAACCGAAAAUAAAAUCACUAAAAUACAUUAAAAAAAAAGGCCUCAACCAUAACAAGAGAUGCUCAGUGCACAUGGCUUCUCGACAAAAGGGCUAGGAUAGUUUUAGAAGUCAUUAUACAAAACAAAAUUUUGAGCAUGUGUUAUUCAAAUAGAAGUUUAUAUAGAUAUUUUGGAAGCCAAAAAGACAAUAGAAGGAUAAUUUCCAUUUGCAUGAAGUUUCCAUAAAUUACUCAAAAGUCAAUUAUCUAUCCAUCAGCAAUUGUUUUCUUCACCAAUGAAAGAAUUUUUGAGCUCGUGUAAAGAACCAUGAAAUUUGCCUGCAUGUUAAUAAAUCUUGGAAUGACAAUUAAAAGAAACUGUUUGGACUGAUUAACCAUACGGAAGAGAGUCAUGGGCCACAUAGUCAAUCUGAUGUUUGUCAAGGAACUCUUGUGUAAGCACCCAUGGUGCAUCAGGGAUCACUUCAUCGACCCACCUGCAAUGGCGAAGAGACUCGUAUCGCUCCUUGUCAGUCAUGACAGUUUUACCCUUAUACUUGUGAGUGAUUUCAUCAUUGCAGCACCCAACUAACAGGUAAGUGUUGGGAAACAGCUUCUUGGCUUGCUCGAGAGACCGGGCGUGACCAAAGUGGAAGAGAUCGUAGAUGCCAUCAGCAUAUACUCGAACUGGUCUGUUUUCUGGUGGCUCUGCACUCUUUGCCUUCUCUUCCUCCAUGUGAAUUCUGGAAUACCUUUCUUCUUCUCUUGCGCCGAUAUUGCGUUGCUUUGAACAACACAAAGACUGCCACGCUCUCUCUCUCUCUCUCUCUCUCU